UACGUAGGGUGCGAGCGUUACUCGGAAUUACUGGGCGUAAAGCGUGCGCAGGCGGUUUGUUAAGACAGAUGUGAAAUCCCCGGGCUUAACCUGGGAACUGCAUUUGUGACUGGCAAGCUAGAGUAUGGCAGAGGGGGGUAGAAUUCCACGUGUAGCAGUGAAAUGCGUAGAGAUGUGGAGGAAUACCGAUGGCGAAGGCAGCCCCCUGGGCCAAUACUGACGCUCAUGCACGAAAGCGUGGGGAGCAAACAGG
This 253-nucleotide ribosomal RNA is filed under the name uncultured bacterium. Its description in RNAcentral is "partial 16S ribosomal RNA". It matches the Rfam family "Bacterial small subunit ribosomal RNA", at positions 524 to 776 of the family's 1533-position model. The record is from RNAcentral.